Ostrinia nubilalis (European corn borer) is the source of this 2102-nucleotide long non-coding RNA. RefSeq lists it as uncharacterized. The transcript is spliced from 4 exons. NCBI's taxonomy places the organism in Eukaryota, Metazoa, Arthropoda, Insecta, Lepidoptera, Crambidae. The record is from RefSeq and is a predicted model, not a curated record.
GUGCGAUUGUGUAAAGUUGUUCAUGGAUGGACAAUGAAUACAAUUGAUCAUCGAUCGUAUAUCUAAAUUCGAAUUGUGUAAUUUUGUCCAUUCCAUGAAGACCGAAAAGUGACCGGUCGUAUAUAAUCGUUUCAUGGAUUUGCGUUUUAUUAAUGAAAAACAUUCGCUAAAACUCAUUAUUUUUUAACAAAUAACAAAUGAAAUCCAUGUUCAAAUGCAGUUUUUUUUAAUAAAAUUUUAUGAUUGCACCUUAAUAACAUACUUUUAUUCAUAAAAACAUUGAAUUCGAAUUAAAAAUUUACCUCUGCAAAUCAUGUAACCAAACGCAUAGAACGAAUGAAAUACGAGUUCCACUACCCGCCCCCAGGUGGCAUACAUACUUUAAGGCUAGGCAGGCUAAGUUGAAUACUACUCUACAAUAGGUGGCGUUAAUGGACUACGAAAAACGACGUGAAAUGCUUACUUCUUUUUAUUUAUUUAUACUUUAAUGCCAAAAUUUUAACCUAAGGCGAACUUAAUCUCACAUUUAAUAAAUUAUACAUAAAUAAUUGUUUUGAGAAGUAGUAUUUUAAUCUAUGUUCUGUGAAUGACAAGUGUUAUCUGUCAAGUGUCAAAAAACUUGAAAAACUUUUACGAAGUUUUUGAAUUAUGUUAAAUUUGUUUAUAAACACAAUGCCAAAGGCAAGAAUAAUUGCCCACGCCAGAUGGAGACCCAGCUAAAUAAUGUAGUAACAGCGCGUGGUCGUGUGAUGAGGGUUCCUCGACUUGAGUUCUGGCGCAACACGUCCUGGGCACUAAACAAAAUUGGGGAUGGGACGUCUAAAGAGGUGCAAGCCUGGAAAACGCUCUCGUCUUGCUCUACAGCACUUGCACUUGUCCCACCAUCUACCAGUGUUGGAACUCUUCCAAUAAUUUCCCACACCCAGGUGGAGAAUACUCCAGUUACUGCUACUGCUACUCUAAAAUAUCUCUCAUCUUGUUCUACAGCGCCUGCACCUGUCCUACCAUCUACCAGUGUUGGAACUCUUCGAAGUGUAUUAAUGAUUAUUAUUUUAGUAACCAUAAAAGUUUAAAACAAUACAUUUUAUUGCAUAAUUAUUUGUUAGAAAAAAAUGAUGUAAAAUGAGUAGGGAGGCUGUUGAUUUUUCAUGGUUAUUUUAUAUCUUGUUGAUUGUUCCAAAAAAAAACUAAGUUUUCAAGAAUGCUGUGAUUAAAGUACCUAUAGUAUUAUAUUUAAAAUGAAAACUUAGUUUGUAAAGAGACGAAGGCUGACCAAAAAAGAAGUACUUAUAGCUGUCUGUGUCUGUGUAAAGAAUUUAAAUAAAAAGAUGUGUAUAUUUAAACAGUUUUCUUUAUUUUAUUAGUCAUUUAUUCCUGUAAAUAAGCCCACACAGGGCACUUUUACAUGUCCCAACAUAACUUUACCCUACCACUUUGGCAGUAUUGUGGGUUAAGGCUGAUUAAAACGUGUUAAGUAGAUAAGUAGGUACCUACCUAACUACUUUAUUGACUUAAUUUUAAGUAAUUAAUUGCGUAGUAGUAUAGUACAAAACGUAGUAGUAUAGUACAAAACUUAGUAGUAAGUUUCAAGUCAAAAUUUAGAUUGUGCUUGUGUUUUAAGUACGUGCAAUUUAAUCACGUAAAAUUAAGUGAAAAACACUUAUCUACUUAACACGUGUAACUCAGCUUUUAGUGCUAUAGUUGUUGAUGAAAAAGAACUCUUGUGUCUCACUAAAACUUAUUUCCAUUAACACCAAGCACUCACCGCUUACCACACUUUAUCUUUCAAAGAAAUAAAUUAACAAUUUGCAUACGAGGACGAGGAUAGAAUUACACCUCUAUGAGAAUUUAUACGAUUAUCAUGAGUUACGAGUCACCGCAAUCAUUUGACAUUAGCAAUGGGCUCAUGAAACUUAGACAAUUCGAAUUUUCUGUCAAAAUCAUAUUCAUCAUUCACUCAUCGUAUAAAAUUACGAUCAAAUCGUUAUCAUAUCGUUAUCGUUUUAUGAACUCCUUACACAAUUAGAAUUAGCCGUUUGACACAUCAUAACGUACGUUAUGAACUGUCAAAUGAAUACGAUUGCCUUAGACAAUCGCACCAC